Gasterosteus aculeatus aculeatus (three-spined stickleback) is the source of this 2846-nucleotide non-coding RNA. The record is from RefSeq and is a predicted model, not a curated record. Lineage: Eukaryota; Metazoa; Chordata; Actinopteri; Perciformes; Gasterosteidae.
AACAUUCUUCUCUACAGUUAGUUUUGUAAUGUAGCCUACAACUUGUAUUUCUUUAGUGAGGGUUUUUAUUUUUUAAUAUUUUUUGUAGCCAUUUUUUUACUUUAUGCGUUGAUAAGGAACAUUUAAUCUAUUUGUAGCCUUUAGUCCAGUAGUAUAUACAGUGCUGUGAAAAAGUAGAAGAAACUAUGAAGUGGGCAAAAAGUAUUUGCCCACUUCCUUGUCUCUUAUACUGUAACUAAGAUACAUGGACUAUACAUGGAAGAAUAUCUUCUAUAUAGGCUGGCCCUUCCUUUGAAGGUUCCCGACUGUCUCCCAAUGCACAACUCUUGGCAGGACUCCCGAUCUGUUUUGUUACCACGCUGACAUAUCAGUGAGGAGGGUAGGACAGCUGGUUGAAGGCGUAUUGGACCAACUGUCCUUUUUUAGGCAGCUAUAUAGGUUCCCCUCAGGCACCGUUUGGAUCUUUUCUAUGCUUUGAUUUCACUGAUGACUGAACACCAGCAAGAGACACCCCAGCUCCACACCAUGUAAGUGGAAGAUUGGGACUACAGAGGACUUUCACAUUGACAUCCGACGCCUUCUCUGUCCAAGUCAUUUUUAUUCAAAACAAAACCAAUGAGACAGUUUUUUAAAACUUAUAUAUGCUUUGAUAACUCAAUUGUGGUUGUUUUAGUGUAUCAGUCUGACAAUUCGCUAACUGUGCUCCUUUAUUGUAAUGUCUGUGGUUCGAUAGACACAAUGGUGCAAAGUAAAUGUACAUUCCUGGACUGCUGUACCCGUGGCUUCACUGAUGGCCCUGUUAAGAUCUGGGCUCUACCAGGUACUAGGAUUUGGUUGAACAGGUAGGACAGCUGGUUGAAGGUGUAUUGGACCAACUGUCCUUUUUUAGGCAGUGUGGCAACCCACGGGCACAAGAGAGCAGCACAAAGGGCAGGGGCACCAACGAGCAAGAGGUCAGGUGACCAAAAGGGGAAACACCCCGCCCCCUCAGGAGACAACGAGCGGCCCAGGUGCAGCUCAUAAGGCGUAGAAGCUGGCUUAAUGCCAGGGUUUGUUUGCAAGAGUGUUAAAGCCCGUUUUUUUUGUGCUUCCUGCAGGAAGGAGACUGAAGGCCGAACGAACCCGCUGAACCUCACCCUCAAAAGAGGAAGAACCUAAUUUUCCCUUUUUGGUUACUUUGUACGUCACAAUAAAUCGUACCCUUUUCUUGUGCAACUAGACGUGUAUCUGAGUCCGGUGAUUCCACCCACACCCGUUGGUUGCCACAUAUGGUGGAGGAUGCAGGCAUCUUUAAUUCCACCGCCAUAACCCCGAAGACCACGGACCAUGGGAGAAGCAAUGGAAGCCGCAAUGGCCAAGCUCCUCCAAGCCCAGGCGCAGCAGGUACAGAGCAUGGCAGCCCUUCAGGGGACAUUCGACAGGCUGGCCGAGAGCCUAACCCCGAGGGCCCCUCACGCUUCUCCAACAGCUUUACUCACCAAACAGACCCCUGUAGACAAUGUGGAGGCCUUCCUCAAGGUCUUUGAAUGAACGGCAGAACAUGAAGGCUGGCCGGAAGACCAUUGGGUGCACAUCCUGGCGCCUUUUCUGACAGGAGACGCCCAAAGGGCAUACCAAGACCUCGGAACAAGGGAGGCGACAGACUACCCAACGGUGAAGGGGGCCAUCCUCGCCUACUGUCAUGGGGUGAUAGCCAGAACGAGGGAUGGACUCAAAAGCGGGAUUCAGAGAAAUAAAAAGACUGGGAAAAGAGGGACUUAGUACGGGAUCCGUGGCCGAGGAAGAUGCUGGAGAGGCAGAGAGGCACAGGGGUCCAGGCGGCAGGAGCAGUGCGGUAGAUAGAAUCCACGCUUGAGGGAGAGGUAAAGAUCCGGCUGGCUGGAGGAGUUCCCCCAAGCCGCGGAGGGCGAGAGGGGAAGCUGGGGAAUCCGUCAGGCUGGGAUGGUCAGUAAGGAGGCACCAGGUAAAAUCUUUCCUAGGGUUGGUGGGGUAUUACCAGAGGUUCAUUCCCGCUACGCAACCAUGGCGGCCCCCUUGCAUGACCUGACGAGAAAGCGGGGGCCACACUGGUUAACUGGACCCCGAGGCUAACGGGGCAUUUGAGUGCCUACGACAGGCUUUGUGCACCGGUGCUAGUAACGCCUGUCUUUUCCCUCCCAUUCCUAGUCCAUACAGACGCGUCGGAGGUGGGACUGGGGGCGGUCCUUUUUCAGGUACGAGACGGCGAGGAGCACCCGGUGAUAGAUAGAUAUUAUAUAUAUAUAUAUAAAGCCGAAAGUAUCUGCACAAGCUUCGCUACUACCUCCUGGGUCGGAGCUUCACCCUGGUGACAGACCACGCCCCCCUGAAAUGGAUGGCGCAGGCGAAAGACUCAAACGCCAGGGUCACCCGCUGGUUUCUGGCCCUCCAGGACUACAAAUUCAGUGGAGCACCGGCCGGGGAGGGAACCUGCUAACGCUGAUGCAGGCGGGAUGCUUGUAUGUGGGCGGUCCGUCUGGGGUGGGGGAGUUGUGGCAACCCACGGACACAGCACUCUGGACAGCCCCUCAAGAGAGCAGCACAAAGAGCAGGGGCACCAACGAGCAAGAGGUCAGGUCACCAAAAGGGGAAACACCCCGCCCCCUCAGGAGACAACGACCGCGGCCCAGGUGCAGCUCAUAAGGCUGAUGAAGGUUGACCACACUAUAAAAGACCAACCAUUCCAACAGCCCAGCAGACAAGACGAAGGAGACUGAAGGUCGAACGAACCCGCUGAACCGCACCCUCAAAAGAGGAAGAACCUAAUUUUCCCUUUUUCGUUACUUUGUACGUUACAAUAAAUCGUACCCUUUUCUUGUGCAACUAGA